CACAUUGAGGGGCAGGGGCGGCUGCGGCUGUGUACCUCCGUGAACGUGCAAGGGGAGGCGCUACGUAGGGCUCCAGCGUUGUGUGGAGGGGCAUUGCGCAGGGGAGUCAGAGUCAAGAGUCAAGCAAACAUGCUUAUCGCCAUGGUGCCGGAGUCCAGAGCCAUGAACUUGGUGACCAGGGAAUAGUUCAGAUUAAUGCGCAGAUCAAUGAUUUUGAGGGCCCAUUGCAGUUUUGCCAACGAAACAAGAGGGCAAUCGGCUUCAUUGUUAGGAAUAGAUGCAUGAGUGUGAUGCAUACACUAGUUGCUUUUGUUGGACACCUAUGUUGGGAUGUGAUGUGGUGGUGCUUCUCUUUUGGAUAUGUAUGAUGGGGUUGUGGUUUGGUGGUACAUCUCUUUUAGAUAUGUAUGAUGGAAUAUUAUCUAUCUGUAUAUAUGCAUGUGAUUUUAACUUAA
Long non-coding RNA from Panicum virgatum (switchgrass), 455 nucleotides. RefSeq lists it as uncharacterized. The record is from RefSeq and is a predicted model, not a curated record. The transcript has 2 exons. Lineage: Eukaryota; Viridiplantae; Streptophyta; Magnoliopsida; Poales; Poaceae.